Molecule: non-coding RNA, 149 nt
Organism: Caenorhabditis elegans
Lineage: Eukaryota; Metazoa; Nematoda; Chromadorea; Rhabditida; Rhabditidae
Source: Ensembl
AGUUUGAAUUACUGGUUUGGCCCCCCAAUACCUAACGAGACCCAGCUGUUGGGGGCGGUCCUCGAUUUUACAAGGGGGAUUUUUCUACGACCUCAUAAUAGCAAUAUUGCAACCUACAGUAACCACAACAUUUUUUUUGACUGUAUAGA